GGGUAGGACAGGGCGGGGCAGGGCGCAGGAGGACAGGGUGACCUGGGCAGCCUGACCUGGAAUAAUCGAACAGGGGUGAGCAGAGAUGGUGGAGGCAGAGGUGGGGAAGCUCCUGGGUGCCUUGGGGGCCUCAGGAAGGAGGCCGAGGCAGCCCCCUUUGCACGGCCAUGCCCAGCAGCCUCCAGAAGACAUGUUCUUUGCUUCUCACAGCCGAUCAUCUCUGGAGAGCCUGCUCAGACCUGCCCUCCCCACAAAGCACGCUGCAGAUGUCUGGGGUCAUCCGCCGCUUUGAGAAAUCUGAUGGCUUCACCCCUCUCGCUCCUGUCCCCGGGUCUCCCCCAGCUGCGGCUGAGACAUUCAAACCACAACCUCCCUCUUUGCCUGGUAAUUGAUCCUCCUUUGCCCUACAACUUGGGUUUGGUCUUAAUUUGCCCAGGGACUAAAUAAAGGCAAGAAGGGACGGGCA
This 466-nucleotide long non-coding RNA is filed under the name Meriones unguiculatus (Mongolian gerbil). Its description in RNAcentral is "lncRNA (ENSMUGG00000020355.1)". Lineage: Eukaryota; Metazoa; Chordata; Mammalia; Rodentia; Muridae. The record is from RNAcentral.